UGUCAUUGGAUAAAUUUCACAGGGAAUGAAGUUGUAUGUGCAAGUGUGUAGGUCUGAAAAUAGUCAUGCAUGCAAUAUCUGCACCCCUUUCUGAAGAUCUACAAGAAAUAAAGUUUUUAAUCACUGUAUUUCUCUUGCUGUCAAAGGCACAAGAUAAGCUUAUUCUUUUAAAAGCUACACUGCCUUACUGUUCUUAAAACCACAUAGGAAUUUCCAUGGCCAGCUCUUCACCAGUCCUUUUUAGCACCCAAGCAGUCAGAACAGCAGCCAGGAGUCCUCCAAAACAGACAUUUUGCACCAGUGACUCAGAUUUGUUCCGCUUCACGUUUUUUGUGACUGAAGUUCCACUAUAGACCAUCUGUUAUGGCCACUCAGGCAGGAAUACAAGCUCACAUCCACGUUGGUGUUCUAUCUGCUCUUUACAUAGAAACUUAUCAAACAGGAUUGCUAAACAGAUAACAGUGUGGAAGACCCGCUCUACUGAGCAAUAAACAUAAAUGGAUUUAACUGGAGCUUGUAAAUGUUUCAGGAAACACAUCCAGCAUGUAUUUGUCUACAGUAAGGGUCAUAUAAUAGUCCAUAAAGAUCUCCUGUAAGUCAAAAGGAGCAUUAUCAGUGGGCCUAUGGGAUUAGUUCAGAUAUUCCCUGUACCAAUCCUAGUAAGCAAGAAAAGAUGUGAUCUCCCCAGAGAACUAAUUAUUCAGGCCAGCAGGAAGAAAGACCAGAAAGAGAAAAUGUUAUGGAGAAAGCAGCAGUGCUGUUUGAAGAGGCAAAUCAGUAUGUGAACAAGGCUUUUCUGAUGCAUCUUAACAAAAGUGAACAAGGUGGAAUUCUGCAUCAAAGUAACCGUCCUGCUCCAUCAAUUUGAUUGAAACAGUAUGAUCUGACAUUUUUUACUUCUGAAUCAAAUUUGUCUGGAUCAAAAAAAAAUUUAUUUCAGCUGUUUACACUGCAGUUAAUUUCUGCUUCUUAUGCUUCAUAUUUUGAGGGGGAAUGGUAUGACCAAUUUUUGGGCAAUGUUUAUAAUCAGUGCCAAAUCUCAGUAAUAAGAAGCUUGUACUGCUUGCAUCAGUGCUUCUCCAUGUCUCAGCUAAGUGAUAACGCUGUCCAUGCCCUCAGGAACUGGAAUUCUGAUAUGCACAUUUGGGAUAAGGAUUUUAGGGUCACAGACACAACUACCCGAAUGGGAACUAAUUCUUCUUCUCCUCUGUUUAUAGACACUGCGUCACUUGAAGUCUGUUUCUGUAGUCAACAUGGUAAGAUAAGUGGGAUCUCACUCGCCUCUGCAGCUGGCUAGCUGCCUCCUCCUAGCAUAACAAGCCUAGCUGCUUUCACUUAUUUUCCAAUUACCUUUUUUUGUUCUUUUUUUGUUGUUGUUGAAUCCUUCCCCUCCCCCAGCUUCUUUACUUGCCUUCUAGCCCCAGGCACUCCUUUAGGCUUAGUUUUCCGAGCUUUUUGUUAACUUCCCUUCUCUGCCAGUUUCACUCUGCUUGCUUCUGGCAGUGCAGUGUCUUCCUCGCUGAUGUCUCCAGCUGUCACUCCCUAACCUCUGGAGGUUUGAGGUUCCAGAAAUCCCUGCAUUCUGAGGGUAUUGCCUGUGGGGCUGCCUCUGGGUGCUGAAAGCACACGUGGAAAUAGGGCACAGCCCAUGUGCUUCAUUGUCCCCUGUAUUGCUGGGGUAUGCCUGAAUUCCAAUUUUUAAACAGCUCUCCUUCCAUUUCUAAUUCCAUUUCUUUGCUUUUUGAUCAAGCCUCCUCAUUUCAGUUGUCUCCUAGUUUAAAGCCAUCCAUCCAUCCAUUAAGAUGAGCACCCUCUGAUCUGCCCCAGCUUCCUACAUCACCACACUCCAAGAGGAACAAAAUGGAUACAACAGCAGUAUGUGGUUAAGGUGUGCAGCAGUACUUCAAGUGCGUGAACCUUUCAUAGUGCUUCCCAAAUCUCCUGCAAGCUUAACCAGUACUAUAUCCUUGGUACUUAGGAGGAAAUGGGAAAAAUGCCAUACUCAAACACACGUUUCAGGCUGAAAAAACAAACCACUCAAUGUCUGCAGAGCAUGAUACAUAAUUUAGCAGGCAAGUUUCUCUCAUCCUAUAGUUCUUUUGUUCCCAUGAAUUGCUUAUUUCCUUUCUUUCUCUGUAUCAUUUUCUCCCAUAACCUUGUUGUUCUUCAACACCUUUUAAUUAUAGUAUGAAAUACAUAAGCAUGUAUUUAAAUAUAUCUCAGUUCCUGCUGCUGUCAUCCUGGUUAUAAAUGCAAUUUAAAAACCUUACUCAUAUUUAUGCACCAUUCAUCAAGUUUCUGAGGAGGAAAAAACUUACCUGUAUGCCUUCCUUUACAAGUUUUCCUUCAUUUCUGUGUGUCAAGGUGCUUUGGAAGGUGAAACCAAGAGGUUUCUUGCUUAGGGGCAACACUGUUGCACAUGUGGGGAUUCUUUACUAAUGGUUAUGGCAUCUUCUUUGCUUGGCAUAUCCUCAGGAACUGCUUUGCUAAUUGCUCCACUCUUUUUACACAGGGUGCUCAUUUGGUACUUGCCAAACUCUUCCAAUGUCCAUCUACAACUCAUAACACUUUCUUGACACUCUAUUCAUCAAGGCAACCAAGUGAACAGGGAAGUAGCUGCAAAAGUUGCUUGCUCCUUUGGCUCCCUCCUUUGUUCAGAGGAGCUCGUCUGAACUUUUAUUACAAAAAAUACUCAAGAAUUAAGAUAAAGACCCUCAUCCGGUGUGACUUUUCACUCACAGAACUGCACCUGGAACAUGGACCACAUCCACACAGUUCUGAAACAAUCCGGUGCUCCUCACAGCUCACGUUUCAUUUCAGAGCCAAACUUGGGAAAGCUCAGGCUAGCAGUUGCAUUUUAAAGGAGCUGGUUUCACCUUUUAAGUGUUUGAAGUUCAAAGUUUGUAUUUCAAAUUAAGGAAAGCUGAUAAUUUCUGGUAAUACAGAGGGCAUGGUGCCUUUAAUAGACUUAUUAACUGAAUUAAUGAGUGACUAUGUUUUUCAAUAGGGAGAAAGAAAAGGGAGUAGAAAGGGGCCAUGAAAGUUAGUACUUCUAUCCAAAGAAUUAAAAAAUCAGUUCUCAUGAUUGUUUUCAGUGAAAUAAUUUUAAGAAAGCAGAGGAUUUAUCAGUGAUGCUGCAGUAAAUGAGCAGCUCUCAGCAGUCCGCCAUCCUGAGUCUAUCAGCAUAUAUUCAAAUUUAUUGUCUUACAGACAGAUAGGACUUUGAUGGACCAGAGAUGGUUUGCAGUCCUUCCACACUCAUUAUGAGCUUAUCUUCCUGAAGCCUCCACACACUCACAGGAACCAUCGAACAUGCCAAAUGCUAUUAAGUGUACCAUUUGGUAGGUGCUAGAACUUUCCAUUUGCCUGCUUCAGAAUCUCAGCUCUGAAAGCAGAGUUUCCAUCACAACACAAGGAGAAAGUUUUCUCUGUGCAGGUGUUGGAGCACUGACACAGGCUGCCCAGAGAGGUUCUGGAGUCUCCUCCUUGGAGAUCUAAAGCCACCCAGAUGUGGGCCUGGCCUGCCUGCUCUGGGUCUCUGCUGAAGCACGGGUUGGACCAGCUGGACCCACAUUUAUCCACAGCCUAGAAGCUCAAGAAUGCUCACUGUAGCAGAUAUUUUACUUAUUUUGGCAAACAAAAGAUAGAACAAAAUAAAAUAAAUGCCCCAGAGCCCUUCAAGAAUAUUAGUACAUAAAUAGUAAUCAAGCUCAGUAACGUGUUCAGUGGCUUUUGUGAAAGCUGUCAUCUAUUAAUCACAGUUUAGUCAUUCGCGGUUGAUGUCAGAGCAACUUCUUUCUGCCAGUAUCCCAAACCAGCUACACUUCAUCUUAGCUGAAGUUAUCUUCAGAUGGCUUUCUAGAUUAGGUUUUGGUAAUUCAGGCUAGAUUACAAUACGUCAACAGCCCAUUUAACAUCCAUAGCAGGUCCUACCUGGAAACUGAGGAAAUAAAAGCAGCAGUUCUUGGUUCUGAAAUUGCCUUCCAGUCAGAAGCAUUUUACCUUUUUGCUUCUGGAAUGGAGACAGACAUACUAAUUGACAUUUCAUCACGUCAUCAGGAGCAGCCAAAUUCAGAAACACCAGGAACACAGGAGAACAGCAGUGAUUUUGCCCACAUUCAGUUGGCCGGCAGCAAAGAGGAGCGAUCCCAUGACUGUACAGCACAGACCAAAACAGCACGAAGCAUUUCCGUUCCCAAUUCUACAAAAAGUCCUUUGUCACUUUGAGAAAAUUCCUUUAACAUCCUUUCAUAUCCCACUAGUCCCCUCUGAAAGCGGCAGCUAGAGAAAGUUUUGUGGGCUGAAGUCAGAUUUGGAGUAGAUUAAUGCACGAUACUGAGUCUACAUGCAUACCAAACUGAGUAAUAGUGUUGCUAGACAAUUAACACUUGGAUUUAUUUUAGGUAAUAUUUUAUUUGGGAUGGGGUGCAGCCCAAAUGGUAGAGGAAAAAGGCCAGAAAACUGUUGUGAUCAUUUAGUCUGUAAGAGAUACAACUCAUUUCUCAAGAAAAAAUGAAGUCCAGUCUUAGUCCAGUGCCAUGGUGUCCCACAGGUGUUAGGCAAGUAGCUGGAAUGGUUAAUUGUGCCCCUAUCCCCCUUUAUAAAGUACCUCAUUUCCCAUUUGACUGAUGUUUUGAAUGGUGUCCCAUUUCAGCUUACAGGCAUUCAUCCUGUCAGACUCUGACUACUGUAAUGAAAGCCUUUUACUACCAAAUUUUAUCUCUGUAUAAAGUCAUUAGCUGAAGAACAAAGUCUUGCAGCACUCACAAGCUGCGGAAGGUGGGAUAUUCCUCUUUACAUCCUUCUGUCUUCGUUCUGUGGUUUUCUCCAGCACACGAGAUGCAGUACAGGGGCUGACAGGGGAUGAGUUUGUGGUGCUGGGGCUCAUACCUUCCACUAUCAGAUUUGGAGCGCAGGUCCCAAAGCAGCACAUGCCCCUCAGAACAGCACAAAACACCCCAUCUUUAGAGGGCCCUCACUCACAUGCACUUCAGAGAGACCAUGAGCUUCCUAGAAUUUGAAAUACAUAGGAUUCAGGCCAGCUCAGGAUUUACAACUUGCAUUGGUAAGUAAUGGUAUUGGCACUUAUUGUAUGUUUCCGUAUGGGGAAAGCAACAAAUGCAAGAGAACUUGAAUAGAAAUGAAACAAUGAUAAAAACAAACAUUGGGGAAAACAUCAAAAUACAAAUUUGUACUCCAAACAUUUAAACAGUGCUAAAUUUAGAUGCCUAUCAGGCUAAGUUAACCGGAGACAGGAAGAAAUUCACAAAUUGUCAGUCCUAAAUGAAAAGUGUAGUAGGUAGUUUUCUUUUACAUAGCUACUUCGUAAGUGUCCCCUUCACAAAGCACACUUAAAAGCAGGUUCACAGUGCGAGGGAAGCAGUUAACAGCACUGCAUUUCCUUUGCAGUGAUUCUCCCAGCAGUGCAGCCGCGCCGUGCAGCACUGGUACAGCUGAUGGUGCCCCACACCCUUGGAGUUGCACUGACAGCUUUUCCUGCUCUGUAUUGCAAAGCCUUCAGAGGCAGCAUUGGUUACACCAGAGGAUUCAUAGUUUUCUGAAAGGGCAACAGCUGCCCGUGCUCCACCUGAGUGCAGCUGAAGAGUUGAGGUCUGCAGCUGAGUGAACACAGCAUUUCUCCUUUACAUUAUUUAACAAUAAAAGGGAGACAGAGGCAAUAAGUGACUUUAGCCAAGUUACAAUUUUUCAGAAUAGUUUAGGAUGUGUUUUAUGUUCUGCAGGGGUUUUCCAUGACUUGGGGAAAGCCUAAGUGUGUACUGAGAAACAUCUUCAACCUUCCCAUAAUAAAGGCUGUGAAUGACUGCAGCUACUUAAGACCUGCCCUGGUUUCUAAGGAAGAUUUUAAGGGCACUAUUGGUGGCUUUAGUGCAUUAAAUACAACAACAGUAAUCUGCCAGUAACCAAACAGACCUGGCAGGAAAGCACCAUGGGUUUGUCAGACUUCAGUGAAAUUAAACACUUGUUCUGUCAUCUCUGUUCCUUACAAAUUACAGUGCAGCCUUCACGCAUCUCAUGCUGUCAUCCCAACUGUGCACAGCAGUAAGAGCCACUGCUGUUUAUAAAACACACUCAGGAACACAGCAAGCAAAUCGAGUUUUCAGCAGUGGUCAGAAGGCAACAGCCUUCACAUGCCCCACCAGCUCUCACUUCAGCCACCUCUUUCGCAUCCAUUCCAUUGCUCAGGCUCCACAGAAGGGUUUGAGUGGGAAGGGACAUUAAAGAUCAUCUAGUCCAGCUCCCAUCCAGUGAAGAUGAACAGGGACUUGCUGUUUGCGUUCCACCCUUUGGCUCUUCAGCAACAGACCACAAAUAAAAACUCAUCAGGAUUGCUUUAGCUUCACCCCCAGCAAAGAGCCUUCAUGUAACUUUUCCUUGGGGCUGCUUGGGUCACAGCCUGGAGCCUUUGUCUCUGAAGAGGUUUCUCCCUCUUGCAUUCAAUCCAACCCACUGCUUCCAAGUCAGAUUGACUGCAGCCUGCUGACAGCGUGCAGCAGUCACACAGGCACUGCCCAGCCACACUGAGGUCAGACCACACAGGUACCACCUCAUAAUUCCCAAAUGGAGGUACUGAUCUGUGCCAGAACACUCAGUGAUGAGCUGAGACACAGCUUCAGCUGGAGCAGUGGGAGAGAACGUGGGAUGAACACUGCAGUGUUUCACUGGGCAGGGAAAGGUUGGGGAUUUCUCAGUCUGCAGCCUGCCUGGCUGACAUUAUCUCUUCACUCAUCCAUUUCUGUUCACGUGUGUUUUACUCCCUCUGGUGCAUUGGCUGCACCUGCAGCCACAGUGCAAGGUGAGCACGUAGCAACACGGCUCAGAAGUCAGUCAGUGGCACUCACAGACACAGGGAAGAUUUUCUUGGGGGAAAGUAAAGAUAAAUGCCACUUUAUAUCACUCGUUAUAAACUGGUAUUCUAUUCAUAAUGGUUCUCAAGAACAUCCUGCUCAUGAAAUGCACAAUAAUGAAACCAUCUUGACAAAAAGAGAAUGCAUAUCAUAUAUAGUAAAUGCUGCAUUUUUCACACACCUAACCUGCACUUGGGUUCUGAGGGCCUGAAGUUUUAAUUUCGCUCCUUGAGAACAGCUAUGUAACAUACCUUUAAAAGUGAGGGGGUUUAUUUUUAGUCAUACUGGAGAUAAUGGAAAAAACCUCAAAUCCUGUCUAAAAUCUGGGAAAAAAUAAGCUAUGAAUGUCAGAACACCAUUUCCUUCCAGAAGAUUACCAAUGGUUUAUUAUUCCAAGUGUAUAUUUAGAAAAUUCCACUUUCAUAGUUGCUUUAAUAUCAACCACAUUAAAACAUUUCUGAUAGCUGAUUGAUCACCUCCAUAAGCAAAUCCCAAGCUCCCACACCUGUUCCAUUACCCCGAGUGCUCACAGCAUCCUUCCCAUGUGUGCACACACACGUGGACCCUCAGCACGUUUCUUAGGCACACAGACACAAUGCUCUGCAUGGCCCAAAAUGUCAGCAAAAAAAAGCACACCCCUGCUUUUAGAGCACUCAGUAGUGUCCCUGCAGCAGCCUGGUGAUUAAAAAUGUAGUUUCCUUUGGUGCUGAGCAGCCAUGAGUUGGAAGCCAAACAUCAAUAAUGAUUCUCCCUGUUUUCUGCUAUAGGUCACCUACACGAAUGUACUUUAUUCCCCUAUACUUUGGAUUGACCAACUGAACUUUCUGGUUUGUACCCACGUUAGGUAACACUGUCAUCUUUCUUCUCUGACGUUUUAUGGAGGUCUCAGGAACACACAGAGGACAAGAAACACCUGUGUGGUGGCUCAGCUGUCCAAGCAGCAUGGAAAAGGCGUUAAGAACUCGGGGGAGGAGGGUUAUAUUUUGCAAACAAAAGGAAAGUUCAUUUCCUCUGUUAGCUCACCAGAGCAUUAGGUGCAAAAACACUCCUGGAGCUCGUGAAAGACCUUCACUUAUGUCUGAAUCUAUCAAAAUUCUUUAUAGAGCCAUCUGAAAAACAUUUGAUUUUUCCUUUACAAAAUACUACAGAGCUUUUCUGAACCGUUUCAUCAAGCAAACUGUUAAUAAAAAACACCCAGACCAACAGAAAUUGUGAGCUAUAAUCAAAUCUUGGGAGCUUGGGCUUUUUUUUUCCCCCUGUAUAUUUGAAGAGUAUUGACAGAACAGUCAAAACUGCCUUCUUAUUGCAGCAGUAGUUAACCCUCCACAUGCUGACUGCCAUGUAAAUAAAUCCAGUGAUCAGCAAGUGAGCUUGGUAUAUUGCACACACCUGCAAGAAACCACAAGUACUUACACUGUAUCUCAUCUGAAUGCAGUCAUGGGACAUUCCAACAGUUUAGAAAAUAAAUGGGCACAAAUUCGUAACUGAAGCACAAUAAAGGUUUGGCUUUAGAACACAGGGAACAACAGUGAGGUGAAAACAAACACAAACGUCCUGCAUGGCAGCGAAUGCAGAAAGGAACAGAGACACUCAUUGCGUGUGCCACUGAGCUGGCUCAUAACAACCCAGAGCUCCUCCACUCACUGUCUGGCCAUCCUGGCAAUAGACCACAACACAAAUGUUAAAAUAAUAACACUAAUAAAAAUAAGUACAGAUUUGGGCUUAUUUUAGCCUAGAUGUUUUAACAAAACAUCACCAUUCAUUCCUUGGCACGAGGGUGGGAUGCCUGUGUGCUCCUACUGCGUUCCUUUAUCGCCUCAACUCUUUCUACUCUUUGCAAAGGUUAGGGCAGCAAGUUCGAGCUAACUAUAAGAAUUAAUUCCAACAAUCACAUAAUUAUCCUGUUGCUCUAAUGACAAACACAUACACAGAACGACCUGAGAUCCCUGUGAGUGCUGUGUUAAUUGUUUUGUAUCCAGAUGGAUUCCUCUGACAGUUUCUUAGAACAAGUUUAGCAUUGCAAAUGCAGCUCUACGUCUUCUUACUGCAAACCUACAGCUACACAAACUUCUGGGAAUAAACACUGCAAAGAACUUCCCACUAUUUCUCCUGAUCCUUCAUUAUCAGUCCUAAGUCAACACCAAGUUCGUUGUUACAGCAAAGCCCUGAGGCUUCCUUCCUCAACUCCAUCCCACAAAUUGCUGUUAGAGAACGCUGGUUAAGGUACAGUCACUUCUUACCUGUUACAUGUGUGUUCAGUGGGUUUGAAUCUGAAUCUGAAGCAGCAAACAGUGACACGCACUGCACUCCUAGGAGGUCAACUCCACUGAUAAUUAACAAUUCCUGUAUUAAAAACAUCAAGAAAA
Molecule: long non-coding RNA, 9232 nt
Organism: Phasianus colchicus (ring-necked pheasant)
Lineage: Eukaryota; Metazoa; Chordata; Aves; Galliformes; Phasianidae
Source: RefSeq, a predicted model, not a curated record